This is a long non-coding RNA of Panicum hallii, 3800 nucleotides long. RefSeq lists it as uncharacterized. The transcript has 5 exons. The record is from RefSeq and is a predicted model, not a curated record. Lineage: Eukaryota; Viridiplantae; Streptophyta; Magnoliopsida; Poales; Poaceae.
CCUAAUCGGCCUUCUUUCAGCCGCUAAGCCCCAACGUCCGUCCUAUCGGCGUCUGGCUCGUCUGGUCUCUUGCUCCCUCCCGUCGUGAUUCUCUCAUCCCGCGCCUGCCCCCGUGAUUCUCUCAUCUGGUUCACUUUCCUUUUUCUCGUCCAUUUGCUUCACCGCGAUCGGCCUCCGCCGCGGCCAGGGCUCCGCCGCCGUCGCGCCGUCAUGAUCCCCCGCCUGGCGUGAGCGCCCAUCAUCGAAUCCCUAGUUAGGGUGUUGUUCGACGGCGAUCUCGGGCGACCGGCAUUGGCGGUCUCCCUCGAAGUCCUGAGCCUCCCCUGUCCGAGCUCAUCGCCGACCGCCGACAAAGUUCCAGCCAGAGUUCUUUGUCCCCGUGCCCGGUGAGGACAGAAACGAGAUCCCCUCACUCUCCUCUUCCUGACCCCCUCCUCACCUGGGCUCCUGGAUGGCAACCGCCGUGGACGAUUCGUCGCGCCUACUGCCCACCAAGAGAAGCCGCCACCGCCGCGAAUUCAUCCUAGCCAAGACGCUCCUGCUCCGCCGGUCCUCGCCGCCCGUCCCUCGCCCCGGAGCGCCUCCGUCAGACGAAGUCCCAAGCCACCCCUGUCGGAGCUCGUCGCCGGCCGCUGACCAAAUUCCAGCCAGAGUUCUUCAUCCCCGUGCCCGGUGUUCAGUAACCUCAAUAUUUUGCUUGCUCUGAUGAAAGCUGUUUGUUACCCUGUUAAUCUGAUGGAGCUAUGAGUGUGGAUUUUGUUCUGCGCACUUGAAGCUACAGAAUUGAAAUGUUUCGCACCUUCAAGCUGUUGAUAUUCAAGCUAUAUUGGCUCUGUUCAUCACUAGAUGGCAAAAAUAACAGAUUGGUUGAUGUUGGUGAACAGCAGGCAAGAUCUCCACUUCUUACUAUUGCAAAGGACAAUCAGCAAUUCAGGCUCUUGUGCUAAACCUGUACAGGGGCAUUAGGUGGUCAGUAAGAAAUGGCUCUGAGCGGUGAGGGAUAGACAAUCACAUCAGAAUUGGAUCAGAGAUGUCAACGAAGCUCUCUCAAUGCAAGCCAUGUAUGAACUUGUCCAGCUAUGUAAAGGCCUAGAGCACCUCGACCCUGGGUCAGAUCCUUCCUCCAGCCAUGGUUGAUGGCGCUGAUCCUUUCCUCUCCAUCCUCCUCCAAAAUAUGAGCCUUUCCUCUCCGUUCUCCAAAAUCAGCAGGAUUGAUUCAAUGUUUUUUUUCCUUUGAUGCGUCAGGCACUAUCCCACAGGUUAGCGAAGCCACCUCCAGUCACCUCUUUCAUUCACACUAGAACAUAUGGCGCCCUUCGGGCGCCUAGCGAUGGCGGAGAGCAGGAGAGCGCCGGCGGGGAGGCGGAGAGCAGAGAGGGAGAGAGAAGGCGGCGGCGAGGAGCAGUAGAGGGUGAGAGAAGGGUGAGAGAAGGGGGGAUAGAGUGGCCGUAUGCCCAGCCUAGCCUGCGCAGGUGGCAGCAGCGGAGAGCAGGAGGAGCGGCGGCGGGGAAGAGCGACGGAGGUAGGCAGAGAGGGAGAGAGCAGAUAGGGAGAGAGAGGGCGGCGGCGAGGAGCAGGAGAGGGAGGGAGAUGGCGGUGGGGCGUGCAGAGCUUGACGGCAGUGCACAUGGCCUGCCGCAACACGUCGAGGAGCUCGGCCGUCAUGCUCUCCUAGGCCGCGCCGUGGCCGGCCCACACCCCCUCCCUCCGAGCCACGCCCCGCACCGGAUCUAGAUCCCGCGGGAGCGCGCGGCGGCUGCGGCGGAGAGCUAGAAGAGCGGCGGCGGGGAGGGAAAAUGGAGGCAGGAGAAGAGGGAGCCAGGGAGGAGAGGGGAAGAGGCGGCAGGGAGGCAGAGAGCAGAGAGGGAGGAGAGGCGCCGAUAGAGAGCAGGAGAGGGGCGGCGGGGAGGAGGGAGAGGGGUUAGGGUUUGGGGUGGGGGUGAAUAAAAAACUGCCUAGCGGGGGGUUUUUUGCAAACACAACAUUAUUAUCGAAUUUUCCCUUCUCGUAUUGAAAUAAACAUUAUUCUGAGGGCCUAUGUGAAAAUACACGAGUGUGGGUGCUGUAUGGUCCAGGCGAGCUGUGUUUAGUUGUGAUUAUUAGAAAGUCGGAGGUUUUUUUUGCAAAAUGGCCAAAGCGCGGCUGCACGACAUGUGCCCACCUUUUCUCCGUGGGAUGCAGUGGGAGGGCAAAGGGGAGGGACUUUUAAUCAUUCUAAUACAUGGCUACAGGACGCUAGCUGCGGGAGCAAGAAUCACUUAGGUGGCAUGUCGAUGGCUGGGGCUGAAAGGUACACCUAAUGCAGAACCCCAAUCAAUCGUGCACACUUGUUUUGAGGUAUGCGAUCUUCAACUUUUCCACUCUUCAACUGUGCUCGAAGCCUUAAACUAUACUGCAAAUGUAAUGUGUUCUCCUCUUUGAUGCUGUUUGGUACCAUUAUUUGUGUAGCAGAAAAUCAUUUAUGGACAAAUGAGUUCAAUGCCAUAAAUUUAGCGCUUGUUAGGCCCAGAUGCGGAGCACUGAUGGCUAUAGUAGGGUUAGUUUUAUAAUUAAUAAUUGUCUGAGGCUUUAUGAUACGAAUUACACAUACGUUUUGAUCUAAAGGUGCUCCUGUCGUUCAAUUAAAAACGGCUAAGUGACACCGCUCUUUCGUUGCACAGUUAUAUUUUCAGCUCCUAUUUAUUUCAUUGCACGGGCAUAUGAAUUGAAUACUUUGUAGAAUUUUUGUGUGAUAAGCUUUAUAAAUUUUUUUUGUUUUUCUCUAAGUUAAUAGCUGUAUGUUACUUGAAUCGUUGCCAGUGAACCCUCGCCGUGCCAAGAUGAGUACUGUUUUGUUUAUGAACUGAUGGAAUGAUUCCAUAAUGGACAUGACAAUUCCAUGAGAUGCCUUGAUGAUUUGGUUCAAAAUGGUUGUUUGCUUUUCUUGUUAAAAGAUUGUCUAAGAGAGAAAAAAGGAUGCGCUGCAAUGUAUAGUUCAGUGUUGAAUACUUCUGAUUCAAGUAAACAGUUCUGGGUUCAAAUUGUAGUUGUGAAUUACAGGUGCUUCUGAAUUGAGUUCAUGUUUAUUGUAUGUGUAAGUGCUUCUUAAUUAUAGGUGUAAUUACAUAUGUUCUUUUGAAUCAGUUCUCCUGGACUGAGCUCAUGUACGUGUAGGCUUCGAUAUCUUCAAGAUAUAUCAUAGUGCUUUUUUGUGUGGUAGUAUCACUACAAUUGCAUUUAGUGUUUUAGGUUUGAGAUUAAACUCAUUGUCUUCCUUUCAGAGUUGUUUUUGGUUUUCAGACAUUGACCAUUACAAGCUCUGAAUUUUGGAUAAGACUCUUGGCUUGUUUAUUUGAAUAGUAUGGCAAUUAUUAGCUCUUAUUUUUCUGGUGUAGAAAUUGAGAUUAUAUAGUGACGUCCUCCAUUUCACAUGGCACUAUUAGUUGCCUCAAUGCCUCAGCAAACAUGUUAUUAUGUAUCAUGGAUCUUUGACGUCAGUGCAUACUCAGUUAAUAAUGCAGUUAUUUUUAUGUUUCUUGCUCUGAAAUAAGCAUCUGGACUUUAUUGGAUGAAGCAUCUGAAACUCUUAUUGUUAAGACAUUGUCCGGGAUGAGUUCUGGAAGUAAUGCAAACUCCAUGUGAACCACUAUGAAAAAGUUUCACUUUUGAGAUGUGAUCAAUCCCUGACUGGUUAAACUAUUUCCAGAUUUAGUUUUUAGACAAAAUAUUGUACCUGAAAAAAGGUUGUGAUUCAUCUAUAUGCUUGUGACAUGCCUUUAUUUCUUGUGUAAACACAGUUUGAUCAAUAUUGUUUUUGGAAA